GCCAUUUUCUGAGAAUUGAGUUUUGGUUUUCUACUUAAAGGUUAAGCUGCAUCUUCUCUGAGAUCUUGCAUAGAAACACAUAUCCCCUAGGGGAAGUAAAACAGAGUAUCUUUCGUGAGUGAGAAACACCACCUGUGAACGUACAUAAACAGUCCAAACCCAGAUAAAAGAGGGCCACUGUGGGUGAUGUUCAAUAUUACACUUUGCCG
Molecule: unclassified non-coding RNA, 209 nt
Filed under: Hevea brasiliensis (rubber tree)
Lineage: Eukaryota; Viridiplantae; Streptophyta; Magnoliopsida; Malpighiales; Euphorbiaceae
Source: RNAcentral